Molecule: transfer RNA, 104 nt
Organism: Termitomyces sp. J132
Lineage: Eukaryota; Fungi; Basidiomycota; Agaricomycetes; Agaricales; Lyophyllaceae
Rfam family: tRNA
About the family: Transfer RNA (tRNA) molecules are approximately 80 nucleotides in length. Their secondary structure includes four short double-helical elements and three loops (D, anti-codon, and T loops).
Source: Rfam
GGUGAGAUGGCCGAGCGGUCUAAGGCGCCAGACUAAGGUAAGCUUGAUCACCUUAUCAUUAUCUGGUCUCUUCGGGGGCGGGAGUUCGAAUCUCCCUCUCAUCA